RNAcentral lists this ribosomal RNA (253 nucleotides) under uncultured bacterium. Its description in RNAcentral is "partial 16S ribosomal RNA". It matches the Rfam family "Bacterial small subunit ribosomal RNA", at positions 524 to 776 of the family's 1533-position model. The record is from RNAcentral.
UACGUAGGGUGCGAGCGUUGUCCGGAAUUACUGGGCGUAAAGAGCUCGUAGGUGGUUUGUCGCGUUGUUCGUGAAAACUCACAGCUCAACUGUGGGCGUGCGGGCGAUACGGGCAGACUGGAGUACUGCAGGGGAGACUGGAAUUCCUGGUGUAGCGGUGGAAUGCGCAGAUAUCAGGAGGAACACCGGUGGCGAAGGCGGUUCUCUGGGCAUGUCCUGACGCUGAGGAGCGAAAGUGUGGGGAGCGAACAGG